Molecule: long non-coding RNA, 4811 nt
Organism: Brassica napus (rape)
Lineage: Eukaryota; Viridiplantae; Streptophyta; Magnoliopsida; Brassicales; Brassicaceae
Exons: 3
Source: RefSeq, a predicted model, not a curated record
GAGGAACAUCGACCGUGUCAUUUCCGGUCAUCUACGAUCGGGGGUGUCACAAAGGUGGUAUCAGAGCAUGGUUAUACGAUGCUAGAAUGGGACUUGUUUCAAAAAACAUUCGAGUCAAAAUGAGUCGCAAGGAUAACUAGGAUAUGCUGGCUGGUUCCUUCAUUUUAGAAUAGAUAGUCAUGGGUAGUUACCUAACAGUGAUCUUUCAUAGCAGAAGCACCGAGACAAGCUUGAACGGCUAGACCUUACUUACCGAUGUUACUAUCAUCAGGCUCGAGUUUGCUACCCUCAUGGUGGGGUUCACUACCGUCCUGCUAGGAGUCAGUAACCUCAUGUCUUCCUGCCGUUCUUCUGAGUUUUAGUGGGGUAUGCUAAUACUUUAGAGAGAUUUAUGGGACAUAAUUGAUACAUCGAAUACAUCUCCGGACUCGUGUGUUAUCGAUGUCAAGGUGGGUGUUGUUUGUGAUCCGAUUCAGUACGAUUCGAAUGCACAUGAUCACUCAGAUGCACUUAUUCUUCCGGCUUCUCAAGUCUAACCAGCUCAUGCUAUGACGUACACGCACCAGAGCCAUACAAGCAUGAUUUCUUAAGCAUUUGUUUCAAGCUUAGCGUUGGAGGAAGAGAUGGUUUGACUGUAUUACAAGAUGAUGGAAGCACCAGAAGCAUUCUGUUUGCAACGAAAUAUCAUGAAGCUUAUGAUGCAAAGAAGAAGAAGUUGGGACCAUAGGAUACUGAAGAAAGACUAAACCGUUCGAGAUAUACUUUGCUUGAGGCAAUUUAGGAUGCAACACUGAUAGCAUAAUAUUGAUGUGGCCGUUGUUCAGAGAAUUACAAGAAGGAUUUGGCAGUAAGCUAUUUGAAGAUGAGUGCGAUGAGUUGUUGGUCGAGAGUCAAGAAUUACUUCAGAGAGUUGAGAUCGAGUUGGGCAGAUUUCAAGAGUUCAAGAAGUAGUAUUUUCUAAACAAGCAUCGAGAUACGUGGUCGAGUGAGGUUUGGAGAAUAAGCCAAAGAGAAUACAGAAAAUCUUUGGGAACUUAGCCAAGAAUUUUGGACUAGAUAAAAGACCAUGGAGUUUCAAAGCUUCGAGGAGAUGUUAGAGUAUGACGUGCAUGUUAAAGAAGCUAUUAUUGCUGAAGAAGUUAACCAAGUCAUGCAGACCGUCUAUUUUCCAACCGAUGCAGAUCAAAGGUCAGUUUCAAGCAGUGAGUUAAGUAAGUCGCUGGGGAUGAUUUUUGGUGUACAUUUCAUCGGAUCAAGAUCGAGGUUAUGGUUGUGACUAGCAAGGAUAGAAUGGUCGUGAUUGUCAAAGUGUGGGAAAUCCUGGAACGUUUACAUCAUUCGCGCUUUGGUGGUUCUUGUGAAGAGUUAGGAUUUUAGGUUAUCCUUCCUCAUGAGGUUACCCAGUUCCUUUACCUAUACCUAGGGUACCAAUAGUUGGACUUGUUCACGCUUCCUUACCAUUAGUCUUGAUCCAAGUGUUAAGCUAUUUGGGUAGAGCCUACAUUUUAUAGUUGUCUGGACCGUCAAAACCCCUGAAAGGUCCAAUCACAGGUUUGCCUCUUAUCCCAUUGUGUGUUGUGUGAAUUUUUUAAAAAUUUAUGAAUGAUUAAAAAAAAUGAAAAAAAAAAUGAAUUGUGAUCAAGGUGUCGUAAGAAACCUUGCCUAUGGAUGGAAUUUUCUGCCCAUAUUGUGUUUUAUUCGGGAACAACACAUAGUUGUAGUUCCCGAGCACUGUCAUAGUAUUAGAAAGGAUUCACUUUGGUGAAUUCAAGUAUCUGUUCUUAUUUGUGGAAGUAUUGGCUGCCAUUUGAAGUAAUGGUAUGCCUUCCCCAUUCUGUAGUACUUUCAUUAGAGCGGUGUGUUUCUACCUAGACUGAGAUUGGCUAUCUAGUUACCGAGCUCAAUUAGGAUAUUAAGGAAAGAAGUCUUUUGAAGAUACCAGUUAUUGUUGGCCUACAAUGGUAUUCUACCAAGUGUUCGAGUAUCACUCAAAUCAGUCUGGCGUGUUGAAGAACUUUUGGAAAAAGGUGAAGAAGUGUACUCUAGUAACUUGAUCGUUUAAAAAGUAGAAGAUGAAAAGGAGCAGAGUAGAAGACAGUCUGAUAAUCAGGGAGAUGAAGAUGUGGUUAAGGCAUUGAAGGAUGGUCGACAUCAAAAAGUAACAUGUUCAGUAUUCUUGUUGAACCUGGAUUCGCUGCAAUAGCCUAGGGAUCUCACCAAGUGGUUCUUGCCGAGUUCUAGUAGUAGUUAGAAUAUUAUUAAUAGGGUCUCAGAUAUAUCAGAAGUGUAAGGAAUACAGUAAGUAAAAUCAUUCUUGGAAUGGGUGAGUGUGUGUAUUUGAGAGUAGCACCCAUGUUCCGAAUCAUGUUGGCGUGAUUGAUCGUGCAUGUUCUUGUUUGAUUGUUGCACGGUUAAUCAAGUUAACAUUGACCAAACUGGAGAUGUUACCUUCACGUAUGGCACAUCACCUAACGUUUCAUAUUUCAUGUUGUUGUUAUGGGGGAAAGCCGGUUUGAAAAGGUUGAGAAGUGAUAGUCUACAGAGACAAGAUUGUUAGAAAAAGUAUGCAGACAGCAGUUGACAAGAGUUGUGCAUUGUAAAGAAUUUGGUUAUCUUGAAGUGGCUACUCAGAAAAGAAGAGGUCCUUUGGGGAAUUAAGAAAUUGGCAAUCUGCUCUAUUGAUCUGUAUAGAGUACUGAGUUUUUAUCAGAGUUUGAAUGGUUAUCUGUUGACAAGAACCUCUUUCAGAUUUGAAUGUAGAAAUCUAUAAGUAGAUGUUGCCUAAGUGUAUAUCAGACCCAGUAUGAUAGAUCUACUCAAACCUGAAAGCUUGCAACCUAAUCUAGCCUAUCCUAAAGUUCCUAUGUGGAUAGGUGAGCAUCGUAUCAGAAGAGUGGACAAUCAAGAAAUUUUGUAAGUUUCAGUAUUUGGGAGGGAUCGACCAUGAGUUGUUUUGAUAUGGGCAGAUUAAGAUAAGGUCAGAGCUAAUAUCCAGAACUUCUUUCAGAGAGUGUUCAGUAAAGUGUGUACAGCUAUGUUUUCAGAAUUCUGGGACGAAUUCUUUUGAGGCGGGGAAGAAUGUAAUAACCCUCACGAGCCGAUAGAAUUUUGGUCGAGAAAAUUCUUUAAGAUCAGUUUGAAGAUUGGUCGAUCAGAAUUUAAAUAAAAAUCGACCCGGUGAAUUAUUCUUGAUGAGACUGUCUCGUGGCCAAAAUACCUACUCUUAAUAGUUCUGACCAAGUGUUAAUUAUUAUGGUCGAGUUUUAUCUAAGCUGGACGAGAACCAAUGGAUGGGAAACAUUUUAUCGAAAACUGGUCUUGAAUACUUUCAGCUGCUUGCGAGUCAUGUACAUGUCAUGUGUUGCAUGGCUGUUUACUUCCUUCCUAACCUGAAUAUGUGACUUGCACCUUCCUGCUUGCUUGCUACAUUAAAUUUAUGUGAGUUGCACACCUGCUUGAGGUUUCUUCAUGGGAAGGAAAGUGUGAUUCAGCUCACCACAAGUCUCAUACUAAUCUAAAACUUUUGUCCUUUAUUGCUGACUCUUCUCCUGCUGUUUCCCUUGUCAUUUAUUACCUUGUCCUCUUCCUGGUAUAGCUCAUUUAUCUCAGAAACAAGAAAGAAAAAUUCAGAGAGAAAGAGAGAAAGAAAGAGAGAAAAAACUGUGAGGAAAAUCAAUGAAACAAAUCAGAAAAAAAAUCAGAGAAGAGAAGUGAGCUUGCACGACCUUUUCUCACACUCUUAUGAAUUUUAUCAGUGUGUUCUGGUGUGGUUAAGAGCUGAAGGUUUGGCGUCCAAGAGUUUAGAAUCACCCAAGUUCUUCAGCCGUUGAUUUUAUCGGUUAGACGUGUGUUCAGCUUGAAGCUUAUAGCAACAAAGUUCAUUUAAACCUUGAGAAAACCGUUGUCUACACCUUUGUAUGGUUCAGUUGGUCGAAGAGAUUGAAAUUACCAGCCGGAUCAUGCCUUAUCCUCAUUCUGUUUUGGGAGUUAUCAGCAAGUGAUGAGCGUUUAGCUUGAGCUCGAGUCUAGUUUUCCAUAGCCAAUCUCAUGGAUUCAAAGGUGAGUCUAGAUAGAUGGUUGAUGAGUAGUGAAUGAAUAUUUCUUGAUUGAACGUACUGAUGUAGAUGAUUGAUAGGCUUUGUCUCUUGAUCAAUAUUUAAUUGGUGAGGUGUUUACUUAGCGUAAACACUUAAUAAAUAUUUAUGAAUGAUCAUAGAGGUUUAUUCCUAACCUUAGUACUUGUUCUCAAGUACUAAUACAUAUGUAUAAUAUUAAAUAUCUAAGUAUAAAUCAUGUGAAGUCUUAUUGUAUACUCACUCUCCCGAAAGUUCCGCAUUACCGUGAAUUGUUCCUGCGAUAUGGAACAAAGUUACGAAGACACGAUGAUGGGGUCGCACCCUGGAGGCCGUGUAACUGCAUGCAGCGUUAGAUGUUUGAUCUUGGAAUAUCUAAUGGAGAUGAUGGUUAUAUUUAUUUCUCCUCUAGGUUCGGUUAGCCUUGGUGGUUUUCUGGGUUUAGUAGCCUUGGUGGUUUUCUGGGUUUAGUCUAUAUAUAAAUAUUAUAAGUAUGAGUGAAUGGCGGGUGUCGUGGAGAUGAUGUUUAAGAUAAGAUUCACAUCAAUGGAAUGAUAGGCAUUAUAUAUGUAUUUUUAUUAGUUAUGGAAUAUAUUUCCACUGCAUACAAAUGGAGUUGAUUGCUUGAGAUAUUAUUAAUAUACGUUGGGGUGGGGGACUAGGCUCACUGAGUAAACUAGUUACUCAUGACUCAUUUGUGAUGCAGGUAACCAGUAGACGGGAGACCUUACUCUAGGA